GACGAACGCUGGCGGCGUGCUUAACACAUGCAAGUCGAACGGAAAGGCCUUGCUUUUGUGGGGUGCUCGAGUGGCGAACGGGGGAGUAACACGUGAGUAACCUGCCCUUGACUUUGGGAUAACUUCAGGAAACUGGGGCUAAUACCGGAUAGGAGCUCCUGCUGCAUGGUGGGGGGUGGAAAGUUUCGGCGGUUGGGGCUGGACUCGCGGCUUAUCAGCUUGUUGGUAGGGUAGUGGCUUACCAAGGCUUUGACGGGUAGCCGGCCUGAGAGGGUGACCGGCCACAUUGGGACUGAGAUACGGCCCAGACUCCUACGGGAGGCAGCAGUGGGGAAUAUUGCACAAUGGGCGGAAGCCUGAUGCAGCAACGCCGCGUGCGGGAUGACGGCCUUCGGGUUGUAAACCGCUUUCGCCUGUGACGAAGCGUGAGUGACGGUAAUGGGUAAAGAAGCACCGGCUAACUACGUGCCAGCCGCCGCAGUAA
RNAcentral lists this ribosomal RNA (484 nucleotides) under uncultured bacterium. Its description in RNAcentral is "partial 16S ribosomal RNA". It matches the Rfam family "Bacterial small subunit ribosomal RNA", at positions 28 to 523 of the family's 1533-position model. The record is from RNAcentral.